RNAcentral lists this transfer RNA (90 nucleotides) under Chloropicon maureeniae. RNAcentral's name for it is "tRNA-Ser". It matches the Rfam family "tRNA". Rfam says of the family: Transfer RNA (tRNA) molecules are approximately 80 nucleotides in length. Their secondary structure includes four short double-helical elements and three loops (D, anti-codon, and T loops). Further hydrogen bonds mediate the characteristic L-shaped molecular structure. tRNAs have two regions of fundamental functional importance: the anti-codon, which is responsible for specific mRNA codon recognition, and the 3' end, to which the tRNAs corresponding amino acid is attached (by aminoacyl-tRNA synthetases). tRNAs cope with the degeneracy of the genetic code in two manners: having more than one tRNA (with a specific anti-codon) for a particular amino acid; and 'wobble' base-pairing, i.e. permitting non-standard base-pairing at the 3rd anti-codon position. Lineage: Eukaryota; Viridiplantae; Chlorophyta; Chloropicophyceae; Chloropicales; Chloropicaceae. The record is from RNAcentral.
GGAGGGAUGACCGAGUGGCCGAAGGUAACGCAUUGCUAAUGCGUCGUAUGGCUUUAACCCAUACCGAGGGUUCGAAUCCCUCUCUCUCCG